AGCUCCAAUAGCGUAUACUAAAGUUGUUGCAGUUAAAAAGCUCGUAGUUGGAUUUCUGUGUGGGUGAGGCAACCGGCUCUCAGGAGUUGCAGUUAGUUAUCACCUGCGCAUCUUGGCACAAUCCGCUCUGAUCUUUACUGGUUGGGGUCGGGGACUGCCUCGUUUACUUUGAGAAAAUUAGAGUGUUCAAAGCAGGCUAUCGCCUUGAAUAUGUUAGCAUGGAAUAAUAAUAUAGGACUUUGGUUCUAUUUUGUUGGUUGUUUCGAGAACCGAAGUAAUGAUUGAUAGGGACAGUUGGGGGCAUCAGUAUUCUGAAGCGAGAGGUGAAAUUCUUGGACCUUCGGAAGACUAACAACUGCGAAAGCAU
RNAcentral lists this ribosomal RNA (367 nucleotides) under uncultured eukaryote. RNAcentral describes it as "SSU rRNA". It matches the Rfam family "Eukaryotic small subunit ribosomal RNA", at positions 587 to 954 of the family's 1831-position model. The record is from RNAcentral.